UGCCAUCUCGGCAGCAUUCUUCAUGCCUUUUGCCUCUAUGCUCCGCCGCAUCGUAAUCGGCUCUCUUUUAAGCCUAAAAGAUGCGACACCCGCUUCUUGUUGCUGCUCCCAUGCCCACACGUCUUUAUUGCUACCUUGUGCCAAUGUGAACACGUCACUCUCUUAUCGCUUGCGUCUGGUGACGGCGAAACUAACCCUGGCCCUCCCAAGACUACUCGAUCUAACUCUACUACAUCAUCAGUGAAGGAAGCUGUUGGGACCCUCCCGAAGUGUUCGCUUGGCCCACCGCAAUGCAGCCGCCUCCGGGUCCUCCUGGGACGCAGUGGACUCGUCGUCGUCAUCUUCUCCCCCGCUCCACUCAGCCUCUCCCUCGCCUGAGGCUGUGCCUUCGAAGUUGAGGACCGGAGACCUGCAGCAGCGCUCCAACAUGAAGAUACGUCAGUCAACUUUAACUCCUGGAACGAUAUAUCUGUGUUCGAAGAUGCGUCGCACGAUAACACCAUUGUCGCCAACAGAAGUCGUAACACAACAUUUGGGUCAACAACCGGAAAACGGGUGGACCCCCGAAUUUACCGCAAAAGAAAGGUGGCAUCUGUUACGAAAUGAACGUGCUCCGUGCCGAUACACCGCGUUUGUUGACGUGCAGACGCAGGCAGAGAGGAGCGACUCGUUUCGAAA
Long non-coding RNA from Dermacentor albipictus, 678 nucleotides. RefSeq lists it as uncharacterized. NCBI's taxonomy places the organism in Eukaryota, Metazoa, Arthropoda, Arachnida, Ixodida, Ixodidae. The record is from RefSeq and is a predicted model, not a curated record.